Molecule: long non-coding RNA, 880 nt
Filed under: Homo sapiens (human)
Lineage: Eukaryota; Metazoa; Chordata; Mammalia; Primates; Hominidae
Description: non-protein coding lnc-ESM1-1:18
Source: RNAcentral
CCCAGAUGAAAUGUGUUGAUCCUGUGAUGAAGGAAGAAGAUUCUGAAGACUGAGUUUUGUUCUUGUAAGUUUUGACUUUCUCACCACAGGUGCUCUAGGGGUAAGAUUUUUUUUCACACCUAGGUGUAAACGUUAUGUAUCAGUUUGGGGACUUUCAGGUCUGUGCUUUUAGCACUUUUUUGUUUUGUUUUGUUUUGAGACGGAGUCUCUCUCUGUCGCCCAGGCUGGAGUGCAGUGGCGCGAUCUCGGCUCACUGCAAGCUCUGCCUCCUGGGUUCACGCCAUUCUCCUGCCUCAGCCUCCCGAGUAGCUGGGACUACAGGCGCCCACCACCACAUCCGGCUAAUUGCUUUUAGCACUUUUUUGGGAGAGGAACAGAUGACAAUGCAUUGCCAGGCCUUCAAUACAAAAGGUAUUAGACUCAAGAUUCUACAAGAUUCUGUUUGUGCCAGACACUGAUCAGCAGUGCAAAUAUAAAAUGAAUACAAACAGAUCACGCAUCAGAAUGCCAAUCACUUCCUAGUAACACUGAUCAAAAUUUGCAUUAAAUCAACAGAUCUUUCUUUUAAGAGGUGUGUGGCAACAGUAAAGCUUUCUACAUGUUAAACAGAAUGAACAAAACCAACGCAGAGCAGUGACUUCCUGUCAGAGCAGAAGGAGACCCUUAUAGAACAGCUGUGCCACUGCUCCAAAGGCCUCGUGUGGUUCUAUCCCUUGGACUGCCUUUCUUCAACAGCCCAGACACCUGCUCUGUCAGAUUUAUAAGCCACACCCCCUAGAGCCAUGCCAAUCAAAGCAUGGCCCGCAGACCUGUGCCAGUCUCCGAACCUCUUUGUUACCGAUUUGGAGCAAGAUGGGGACAGAAAUUGAGAGCCAGAGUU